This 232-nucleotide ribosomal RNA is filed under the name uncultured bacterium. RNAcentral describes it as "partial 16S ribosomal RNA". It matches the Rfam family "Bacterial small subunit ribosomal RNA", at positions 796 to 1041 of the family's 1533-position model. The record is from RNAcentral.
CACGCCGUAAACGUUGAGAACUAAGUGUUGGGGAGACCCAGUGCUGAAGCUAACGCAUUAAGUUCUCCGCCUGAGGAGUACGCACGCAAGUGUAAAACUUAAAGGAAUUGACGGGGGCCCACACAAGCAGUGGAGCAUGUGGUUUAAUUCGAGGCUACGCGAAGAACCUUACCAGGGCUUGACAGGAAACUUAAGACCCUAGAGAUAGGGGGAUAAUAAGUGAAACAGGUGG